Molecule: long non-coding RNA, 991 nt
Organism: Stegodyphus dumicola
Lineage: Eukaryota; Metazoa; Arthropoda; Arachnida; Araneae; Eresidae
Source: RefSeq, a predicted model, not a curated record
AGUAAAACGCUCGCUUUGCCCGCGAAGUGCUCGAGAUUCGAUUCCCCGCACCCCUAGUUAACAUUAUAUUAUAUACCCAUGUGAAAGUUGAUUUUUCUUUUCACUCUUUUUUCCAAAAUUUCUGCAGUUCAAGUAAAAAUAGAAUGUAAGUCGGGGCUGUAGCUCAGUGCUAGAACGUUCGUUUCGCAUGCGAAAAACCCGACGUUUGAUUCCCUGCACUUCCAAACAACAUUCUCCAUUCGCGUGCAAGUUAAUAAGAUGUUAUGUGUUUUUUAUUUUGUUCUUUUUUUUCCAAAAUUUCUGCAGUAUUUUACAAGUAAGAAAAAAAGGCACAUCGCAGGUUUAGCUCAGUGGUAGAGUGUUCACUUUGCAUGCAAAAACCUCGGAGUUCGAAUUCCUGCAUUUCCAGUCUGCAUUCGUGUGCGAGUUAGUAAGAUGCUAUGUGCUUUUGUUCCUGUCUUUGUUUUCGAAAUUUCUCCAAUGUUUUACAGGUGAUUCACCAUAACAAUGAUGAGUCAGAAACAAACUAAGACUGAUGGAAGAAGUUCCUCACCAUCUUUUGAGCAUCAUCAAUAGGAUCUGUUCAAGAUGGAUUGAAAUCACCUUAGCAUCUAUAAUUUUUCAUCAUUAACUAAGAAACGAUUCAUCACAGAAGAAGAUUUUCCUGAGAAUAUAUGUUUCUGGCCAACUCAUAUUGCGAAUUCGAAGUCUCUGUUUAGGUCAUCUUUCUUAAUGCUUGCAAAGUUGAAACUUACUUUUUGUGUGCAGAUACAGACGUUCAUUUUCAUGCGUACUACGUUUAGACUGCUUACGGAAAUAGUUAGCGAAUAAUAUUGAUAAAUGCUUCGUUUCUUGCAAUUUUCAGACAACCAUUAUGGUAUUUGCCAUGUAGUGAACCCACCUCAUUGAUGUUUUAAAACAUGUUUAUAAGACUGUGAAUGAUAAAUUUGCUUUCUUGGGAUUAUGAAUAUUAAAUUCAUUAACAACAGUA